RNAcentral lists this ribosomal RNA (503 nucleotides) under uncultured bacterium. Its description in RNAcentral is "partial 16S ribosomal RNA". It matches the Rfam family "Bacterial small subunit ribosomal RNA", at positions 30 to 523 of the family's 1533-position model. The record is from RNAcentral.
AUUGAACGCUGGCGGCAGGCUUAACACAUGCAAGUCGAGCGGGGUGAUGGUGCUUGCACUAUCACUUAGCGGCGGACGGGCGAGUAAUGCUUAGGAAUCUGCCUAUUAGUGGGGGACAACAUCUCGAAAGGGAUGCUAAUACCGCAUACGUCCUACGGGAGAAAGCAGGGGAUCACUUGUGACCUUGCGCUAAUAGAUGAGCCUAAGUCGGAUUAGCUAGUUGGUGGGGUAAAGGCCUACCAAGGCGACGAUCUGUAGCGGGUCUGAGAGGAUGAUCCGCCACACUGGGACUGAGACACGGCCCAGACUCCUACGGGAGGCAGCAGUGGGGAAUAUUGGACAAUGGGGGGAACCCUGAUCCAGCCAUGCCGCGUGUGUGAGGAAGGCCUUAUGGUUGUAAAGCACUUUAAGCGAGGAGGAGGCUCUUUUGGUUAAUACCCAAGAUGAGUGGACGUUACUCGCAGAAUAAGCACCGGCUAACUCUGUGCCAGCAGCCGCAGUAA